UACGAAGGGGGCUAGCGUUGCUCGGAAUUACUGGGCGUAAAGCGCACGUAGGCGGCUCUUUAAGUCGGAGGUGAAAUCCUGGAGCUCAACUCCAGAACUGCCUUCGAUACUGUAGAGCUUGAGUUCGGGAGAGGUGAGUGGAACUGCGAGUGUAGAGGUGAAAUUCGUAGAUAUUCGCAAGAACACCAGUGGCGAAGGCGGCUCACUGGCCCGAUACUGACGCUGAGGUGCGAAAGCGUGGGGAGCGAACAGG
This 253-nucleotide ribosomal RNA is filed under the name uncultured bacterium. RNAcentral's name for it is "partial 16S ribosomal RNA". It matches the Rfam family "Bacterial small subunit ribosomal RNA", at positions 524 to 776 of the family's 1533-position model. The record is from RNAcentral.